This 90-nucleotide microRNA precursor is filed under the name Erinaceus europaeus (western European hedgehog). Lineage: Eukaryota; Metazoa; Chordata; Mammalia; Eulipotyphla; Erinaceidae. The record is from RNAcentral.
CUUUGGUAUUUAAAAGGUAGAUUCUCCUUCUAUGAGUACAUGAGUUAUGCUUAAUCAUAGAGGAAAAUCCACGUUUUCAGUAUCAGAUGC